This 327-nucleotide ribosomal RNA is filed under the name uncultured eukaryote. RNAcentral's name for it is "partial 18S ribosomal RNA". It matches the Rfam family "Eukaryotic small subunit ribosomal RNA", at positions 1470 to 1796 of the family's 1831-position model. The record is from RNAcentral.
CCCUUAGAUGUUCUGGGCCGCACGCGCGCUACACUGACGAAUGCAACGAGCUUAUAACCUUGGCCGAAAGGUCUGGGUAAUCUCCAAAUUUCGUCGUGAUGGGGAUAGAUUAAUGCAAUUAUUAAUCUUCAACGAGGAAUGCCUAGUAAGCGCAAGUCAUCAGCUUGCGUUGAUUACGUCCCUGCCCUUUGUACACACCGCCCGUCGCUCCUACCGAUUGAAUGGUCCGGUGAAGCGUUCGGACCGUGGCCUUUGGACGGUUCGCCGUCUGUUGGCUGCGGGAAGUUCGUUAAACCUUAUCAUUUAGAGGAAGGAGAAGUCGUAACA